AGAAUUCUCGAAGAACAGCGUUGGAGAAUGCCGAGCAAAUCGGCAUCUCUGAGGAAAGUCCUCGAACACACGCAGAAAUGCAGCUCAUAAGAGUGAUACUUUGUUAUUGGGACAGUAAUGCUGUUAGGUAUCGGUCUACUGAACAGAAUGAGGCUUACUCUCGAGAAUUC
This is a non-coding RNA of Vavraia culicis subsp. floridensis, 170 nucleotides long. It matches the Rfam family "RNase MRP". Rfam says of the family: RNase MRP is an enzymatically active ribonucleoprotein with two distinct roles in eukaryotes. In mitochondria it plays a direct role in the initiation of mitochondrial DNA replication. NCBI's taxonomy places the organism in Eukaryota, Fungi, Microsporidia, Pleistophoridae. The record is from Rfam.